CAGUGUGUAUCCCCCCAGCCCUUCCGGAUCCCCACUCCUGAUGGUAGAGGCUGCAGAAAGAUCUGGGACCUUUAGUUUCUGGCCAAUGUUGGGGUAGAAGGGCUGCUUGGCAUCCACCUAUCCUGCCCUGGGGGAACAUCACAAUCUGCCUUUGGCUGGCCUGUGGUCCUUUGGGGCUAAGUUGGGGUCAGCCCAGUUCAGGGCCAAGGCCAGUUCUUUUUCUGCCUGGCUUUGAGCUACAUGACCUUUGAUCUGCUGUCUGAGACUCUGCCAUAUGUCUGUCUGUCCAUUCUUUCUACUAGAUUUUGGGAGGCCAUCAGAUGGGGUCACACAGCUUCAGAUCCAGGCAGGGCCGACCCUCCGGCUAUGGAACUCUUCCCUGGAUGUGGGCUCCAGAGGAGGGACCUCCGUGGGAGGCCCCGUGCCUGUCCUAUAACCCAUGCAGUCUCCAUCUCCUGGAUGAUUGGGCGACCAAGCUGUGAAACCACCCCUUCACUGGGCCCCACUGGCUUCCUCUGCCUGCCUGGAAGGGAACUCCAAGAGAGGGGGUGCCGGAAUCUGCAG
Talpa occidentalis (Iberian mole) is the source of this 564-nucleotide long non-coding RNA. RefSeq lists it as uncharacterized. The transcript is spliced from 3 exons. NCBI's taxonomy places the organism in Eukaryota, Metazoa, Chordata, Mammalia, Eulipotyphla, Talpidae. The record is from RefSeq and is a predicted model, not a curated record.